GACGUAGGGCGCGAGCGUUGUCCGGAUUUAUUGGGCGUAAAGAGCUCGUAGGCGGCUUGUUGCGUCGACCGUGAAAACCCGGGGCUCAACUUCGGGCUUGCGGUCGAUACGGGCGGGCUAGAGUUCGGUAGGGGAGACUGGAAUUCCUGGUGUAGCGGUGAAAUGCGUAGAUAUCAGGAGGAACACCUGUGGCGAAAGCGGCUCACUGGACCACAACUGACACUGAGGCGCGAAAGCUAGGGGAGCAAACAGG
RNAcentral lists this ribosomal RNA (253 nucleotides) under uncultured bacterium. RNAcentral describes it as "partial 16S ribosomal RNA". It matches the Rfam family "Bacterial small subunit ribosomal RNA", at positions 524 to 776 of the family's 1533-position model. The record is from RNAcentral.